UAUUAAAUUACAUGCCGUUUUAAACUUUUAACAUUUUAAGUUAAGUUCUUUGUUCUGCUUAUGUAGUUAAAAUAAAACCUGACCUGCAUGCGAUGAAAUCAGGUAGUAAGUAAAAUAAUCCUUCAGAUUUUGACGCAUUUUUCAUUCAUCCAAAUUUAUGGACCCGUUUUGCAAAAUUUUCGUGAAUAUAACUAUCCAAGACAAUCCCAAAAUAAUUUAAUUUAUAGCUUUCUAAUACUUAAAAUCUAUUUAAAUGAUUCUAAGAAUUAGACCACUCGUGGGCGAAGAAAAAAUAAUCGAAAUAGAACCCACAGAUCAAAUUGGAACCGUAAAAGAAAAGUUACAAGAAGCAGAAGGCACGUCUGUCGACCAGCAGAGGUUGAUCUAUCAAGGAAAAUUUCUAAAAAACGAAAAAACAGUAGAAAGUUAUCAUUUAAAAAAUGGGGCUAUGCUUCAAAUGGUGAAGGCUUUGCGAAGCAAAUAGUUUUUUUAAGUAUUUAAAAUGAACGGAAUUUCACGCGGAAGGAAUCUCAAGAAACCCAAUUCUAAAGUUCGGUACAAAUCAGCUACACUUGUUUAGCAUAUUUGCCUAUCGCUCAUGUUCUGGGUCAUUUUGAUGAUUAUCUAUUGCUACUAUUUUUGGUUCGCUCAGGACAAAGAACAAUGACAAGAAAUAAAAAAUAAGGGCAUUGAAUAAAUGACAAAUUGUCUAAUAAAAACAAA
Molecule: long non-coding RNA, 723 nt
Organism: Dendroctonus ponderosae (mountain pine beetle)
Lineage: Eukaryota; Metazoa; Arthropoda; Insecta; Coleoptera; Curculionidae
Exons: 2
Source: RefSeq, a predicted model, not a curated record